AUAUUGUUAACAAAAUACUUUUAUGCUAAUUUUAAGGGAUUGAUGUGAAGUUUGUUUGGAUUAAAUUUGAUUGAUAAUGUGAUUGACAAUUUAAAUUAAGAAUUUAAAGUAAAAUUAAUUAUUUUGAAAAAAAGAUUUAAUGCUAAUGGCAUUGGGUUGUAAAUAAGUCCAACUCUAAGAUUUAUUUGUUAAAAUGGCUGCAAAAAUGUAUAUAUAGAUUGAACGUUUAAUUCUCACUGAACGAACGUAAUCUCUUUGAAUUUAAUUAAUAUAACUCGUUUCCUAUGAAUAUAAUAUAACUGAACUAGAUUUAAAAU
This 317-nucleotide small RNA is filed under the name Arabidopsis thaliana (thale cress). RNAcentral describes it as "ATSL146620". The record is from RNAcentral. Lineage: Eukaryota; Viridiplantae; Streptophyta; Magnoliopsida; Brassicales; Brassicaceae.